ACAGACAUCACAACGUAAUUCGUCAUUCAAAAUCCUUUAAUUUGAUGGGUCAUACAUUGAUUUCUGAUUAUCCGUUCCAAAGAUACAAAUAUUUGUACAAAAUUAUGAAAAAUCGAAUAAUUUGAAAUAUUUACAAAAAUAUUUUAAGUUGUUUGUUAACAUGCCGGGUGUGUAUGGUUGAUAAGAAAAGAGUGCAGACGUUAUUUUUGUUAAUAUUAACCUCCAAAGAUAUGACAAGCCACAAUGCUAAAAGUCCGGAUGUAGUCGGAUGAGAACAUGUAACCGCAGUUGUUAUUUGUGUAAAUGUUAUCACAUAUUUUUAAAACUAUAAGGUCUUGUUUUUGCAAAACACAUUCAAACAUUUGAUCACGUUCAUGCUGUGUGAAUUUCGCCUAUAAAUACUGAAACAGACGAGCAUAUACCACAGUCGACAUCUGACAGUUUCUACAGUAUAGUUGCAGUGUUCAGUGGAAAAUAUUCAAUUAAGAUAUUCCUAGCGUUCAGACGUGUGCUCUGUGGAUGCUUUUUCCUCUGCGAUACAACCGAUCGUCUGUCACACUGAAAAGUGGGUUACUAAAAAGUUGUAGUGAGUUGUCGUUUGUCCUACAUGAUUAAAAAAUCUUUAAAAGAUGUUCAGUUAAGACCAUUAAAAGAUAUCUGAUAUAGCCCACUGGCAAAUUAAUGAGCCGUUCUGGUUAACUCUAGAACCGUUGCUCGUGUAGCCUCCAAGUUAAGACAAUCGAUAACUUAAUGGUCUUCUUUUUCCCCGAUUUAGUUUUAAGUCUUCGAUAGCCUGUCACAAAACAGGAGUCGGAAAAAUACCUAGUUUUAAGAUUAGAUAACCUAGAGUUAUCGCAUUUACCCUCAAUAAUUCAUUCUCAUUACUAUAGUAACGAAUGAAUUAGUACCAAAGUUUCGAUGUUUUAACAUUAAUAUGAAUAAAAGAUGGCAAUCAGAUCAUAAAAAGAUGUCUGCUGAACCAUUUCCUGUAUGUUUAAAAAAGAUGUUCAGUUAAGGUCACUAAAAGAUAUUCGUUAUAAAAAUCGUACUAUAAAUAAUGUUAAUAAAAAGAUACCUGCUGAACCAUUUCCGGUAUUUUUAAAAUACAAUAAACAGUUUUCGGCUAUGGACAAAUUUGUGAUUUUGUAACAUCAUUACAUCUUUGCUCGUUACUUACUAGAAGGUGGGGCAACAAUCGCUUGUUCUAUGCUAUCACAAAUAUAUAUAUUGCAUCAACAUCACAUUUGAUUCCUCUGAGGAAAUUUGGUGGUUGUAGGCCUCUAGGGGAUGGUGUCCACGAUAAAACACCAACGAGGUAUGUGUUGUACCUCAUGGGUGCCUUGGAAAUCAACACGAGUAACCUUUGUUUCAGAUUAUCCUUGAAAAAAAAAAAUCAGCACGAGCUAUGUUAGCUUUAACUUGAAGACCUUUACGAUAUGCUUUUUCUUUACGACAAUACUGUUAGAUAUGUCUUUAUACAUUAACAAAAGUUUUUUUUUCUACCUAGGUAUACUCUAAGUGUAUAUAAUUUUUUUCUCAAUAUAUCUGAUACAUAAUACCUUUAAAUAUGGUCCUCCUUUUGGAGUAUAAAAAGGACGGUCGACUUUUAACCCGCACGGAUGCACGCCUAUGUACCUUUACGAAGGGAAUUGUACAUAAACCUAUAAGCUGAUCGUAAUCCAUAUCUGCAAAGUAUGUUGUCAGCUUGGGUUAGUAUAUACAGUGCAUUCCGUAUGUUUUAUAAACAUGAUCAGGGGAAAUUGUUGCCUGAUGGCUAUUAAAGAACCGUCUAUGGCCCUCAUAUAUUCUUAUCACAGAUCUUUAAUAUCAAACUGUAAAAUUCAUAUUACCCGGCUUGCCGUAGAUAAAAUACAGUAUGCAACUAUUCAGUAAAUUACAUAAAAAUAAUACGCAUUUUUUUCUGAAAAGACUUGUACAUGAGAUGUUUGCUGGUUUGGCCACAGCGUAUGAAUGGUAUAUGUUCAUUGUAGGAAUGUAUGAUUGGAGAGAGAUCUAGGAUGUUUGCUGGUCAUACUGUAAGAAUGGUAUAUGUUCAUUGUAGGAAUGUAUGAUUGAAACGAAGAUACGAUAUAGUGCCGUUUUGGCAAUGUCUUAUUCACGUCACGUCAUUCACGUUACGUCAUUCACGGUAAAAUAUCACGUUAAAGAGGUACACUGUUAGGAUGGUUUAAAGAUAAAUAGUCUAUACCAUUAGGGAAUAGAGUGUAGCAGAGACCAUUAGAGGCCAUUAGAAACCAUCAGGUCACGUUAUUUACGUCGCGUGAUUCACGUGACGUUAUGCACGUCACGUUCUGUUAGGCACUGUCACGUUCUGUUAGGCACUAUACGGAAAAGAAGAAGAAGAAUUGGCAAUUAAUAUUGAACGUUGACAGAAGAAGAAUUGACAGUUGCCAUCUGUGUCGCCACCGCUUUCAUUUGAUAUCCCAUACGUCAAAAUCGGAUCAUUAGCCAAGAAGAUAUGUUGUAAUGCCGUUUUGGCAAUGUCAAUUAGUUACGUGUUGCAGCCGACAGGUGGCAUGAUAAGAUGAAGAACUGUGAUAGGAUGUUUGAUGGUCGUACUGUAAGAAUGGUAUACGUUCUUCUAGAGGGCUUGGGCAUAGUUACAUGUUGCAGCCGACAGGUGGCAUGAUAAGAUGAAGAACUGUGAUAGGACUAAUAUAUCACCGUUUUGGCAGUGUUGCCAUGUUUCUCCUUCCCUUCGAUGUCUGUUGCGCUAAAAUUAAUAGCAACGAAGAUAUAGUGUCGUUUUGGCAUUGCUGACAUCUUUGUUUUUAUGUUAACAUAUUCAAUAUCCCCUCUUUUUCCCAACGAGACCAUAUUCACACGAAUUGGACCAAUAGACACGAAGAUAUGAUAUAGUGCCGUUUUGUCAUUGCUGACAUCUUUGUUUAUAUGGUAACAUGCCUUCCUCUUUCCAACAAUAUAUGAUCAGUCAGGUCGGAGACAUGCUCUAAUGCUCUUUUGCUAAUGUCUUUGUGAUUGCUCCUCUUUCGUUUAAUGUCUUACAUGUAAUAAACGAACCAAUAACAACGCAGAUGGCAGAUAGGUGCUUCAUGGAUAAGUGUCUUAUUUGGCUUUCUGACUACACCCUGUAUAUUUUGCGAUAAACGAAAUAAAGAGGAGGCCAUCUUGGAAGGCGAGGGUUUGUGACGUAGGUGGGCCUGGCUGUGUUCCCAUUGGUCGGUGCCUGAUCAUUGGUCGGUGAUUGGGGCUAAGUUCUCAUUGGUCGCUGGGCUGGACUUUGAUCUCAUUGGUCUAUGGGCGAUGCUGUGGGUGGGCGAGGCUUCCUUCUCAUUGGUCGGUGGGCGGGGCUAAUUGCUCAUUGGCCCGGCGGGCGUGGCUUUGUGGUGGGCGUGGCGU
RNAcentral lists this unclassified non-coding RNA (3381 nucleotides) under Diabrotica virgifera virgifera (western corn rootworm). Its description in RNAcentral is "uncharacterized LOC114334182". The record is from RNAcentral. Lineage: Eukaryota; Metazoa; Arthropoda; Insecta; Coleoptera; Chrysomelidae.